This 652-nucleotide ribosomal RNA is filed under the name uncultured bacterium. RNAcentral describes it as "bacterial SSU rRNA". It matches the Rfam family "Bacterial small subunit ribosomal RNA", at positions 68 to 711 of the family's 1533-position model. The record is from RNAcentral.
GGUAGCACAGAGAGCUUGCUCUUGGGUGACGAGUGGCGGACGGGUGAGUAAUGUCUGGGGAUCUGCCCGAUAGAGGGGGAUAACCACUGGAAACGGUGGCUAAUACCGCAUAACGUCGCAAGACCAAAGAGGGGGACCUUCGGGCCUCUCACUAUCGGAUGAACCCAGAUGGGAUUAGCUAGUAGGCGGGGUAAUGGCCCACCUAGGCGACGAUCCCUAGCUGGUCUGAGAGGAUGACCAGCCACACUGGAACUGAGACACGGUCCAGACUCCUACGGGAGGCAGCAGUGGGGAAUAUUGCACAAUGGGCGCAAGCCUGAUGCAGCCAUGCCGCGUGUAUGAAGAAGGCCUUCGGGUUGUAAAGUACUUUCAGCGGGGAGGAAGGCGACGGGGUUAAUAACCCUGUCGAUUGACGUUACCCGCAGAAGAAGCACCGGCUAACUCCGUGCCAGCAGCCGCGGUAAUACGGAGGGUGCAAGCGUUAAUCGGAAUUACUGGGCGUAAAGCGCACGCAGGCGGUCUGUUAAGUCAGAUGUGAAAUCCCCGGGCUUAACCUGGGAACUGCAUUUGAAACUGGCAGGCUUGAGUCUUGUAGAGGGGGGUAGAAUUCCAGGUGUAGCGGUGAAAUGCGUAGAGAUCUGGAGGAAUACCG